AACGCACAUUGCGCCCGCCGGUAUUCCGGCGGGCAUGCCUGUUCGAGCGUCAUUUACACCGCUUAGGCUUUUCAAGUCUAGUGUUGGAGCGCUAUAAUCAUUAGUGUUAUAGGCUCUCAAAAUCAGUGGCGAGCCCGUCGGGUCUCCGAGCGCAGUAAUUUUUCUCGCUAAGGAGGAACGACGGAGUCCUGCCGUAAAACCCCUAAUCUUAUAAACUUGACCUCGAAUCAGGUAGGGAUACCCGCUGAACUUAA
Molecule: unclassified non-coding RNA, 254 nt
Filed under: uncultured fungus
Lineage: Eukaryota; Fungi
Description: partial contains 5.8S ribosomal RNA, internal transcribed spacer 2, and large subunit ribosomal RNA
Rfam family: 5.8S ribosomal RNA (bases 1-52)
Source: RNAcentral